RNAcentral lists this unclassified non-coding RNA (219 nucleotides) under uncultured fungus. RNAcentral describes it as "sequence contains ITS1". The record is from RNAcentral. Lineage: Eukaryota; Fungi.
CACGACAGGUAAUCGCGGUUCGGCUGAAAGCCGACCUCUGACGGCGCCGACUGGGCGAAGGCCGGAACGGGCGCCGCGAGCAGCGCCAGCGCCGACAACAGACACAGGCCCGCGGCCCACCGUCCGGGGAAUCGCCGUGACCUCAUGGGGAGGUCGGGACUUUACCACGGGUCGAAGGCAAGAGAUGUGUCGCCCUGCGCUACCACUCAGAAAAGCGAC